RNAcentral lists this ribosomal RNA (230 nucleotides) under uncultured archaeon. RNAcentral describes it as "partial 16S ribosomal RNA". It matches the Rfam family "Archaeal small subunit ribosomal RNA", at positions 408 to 638 of the family's 1478-position model. The record is from RNAcentral.
UUUUCCGGAGUGUAAANAGCUCCGGGAAUAAGGGCUGGGCAAGUCCGGUGCCAGCAGCCGCGGUAAUACCGGCGGCCCAAGUGGUGGCCNCUAUUAUUGGGCCUAAAGCGUCCGUAGCCGGCCCAGUAAGUCUCUGCNUAAAUCCUGCGGCUCAACCGCAGGNCUGGCAGAGAUACUGCNGGNCUUGGGACCGGGAGAGGCCGGGGGUACCCCAGGGGUAGNGGUGAAAU